UACGUAGGUGGCAAGCGUUAUCCGGAUUUACUGGGUGUAAAGGGCGUGUAGGCGGUUUUGUAAGUCAGAUGUGAAAUCUCCGGGCUUAACUCGGAAACUGCAUCUGAAACUAUAAAACUUGAGUACUGGAGAGGAUAGUGGAAUUCCUAGUGUAGCGGUAAAAUGCGUAGAUAUUAGGAGGAACACCAGUGGCGAAGGCGACUAUCUGGACAGUAACUGACGCUGAGGCGCGAAAGCGUGGGGAGCAAACAGGAUUAGAUACCCGCGUAGUCCCUGA
This 277-nucleotide ribosomal RNA is filed under the name uncultured prokaryote. Its description in RNAcentral is "partial 16S ribosomal RNA". It matches the Rfam family "Bacterial small subunit ribosomal RNA", at positions 524 to 800 of the family's 1533-position model. The record is from RNAcentral.